CACAUCUCAUUGUAUAUAGUAUAUACUCUCUCUCUUUCUUUCUUUCCAUGUAGUAGUAGAGCACCUCUUCGAGACUUCGGAAAUGAGUUCUUCUCAGAUACUUCCCAGAUCGUCUGUUCCCUCUUUUUUGCCAAGCAUCAAAGCAUUUUCAAGAACUCUGAUCUCCGGCUUGGGAAUGACGAGUCCAGGUGGAUUUCACAGAAAUGUUAGGAGUGCCCACUGGAAAGUAAAAG
This is a long non-coding RNA of Dioscorea cayenensis subsp. rotundata (Guinea yam), 233 nucleotides long. RefSeq lists it as uncharacterized. The transcript is spliced from 3 exons. Lineage: Eukaryota; Viridiplantae; Streptophyta; Magnoliopsida; Dioscoreales; Dioscoreaceae. The record is from RefSeq and is a predicted model, not a curated record.